RNAcentral lists this non-coding RNA (28 nucleotides) under Rattus norvegicus (Norway rat). The record is from RNAcentral. Lineage: Eukaryota; Metazoa; Chordata; Mammalia; Rodentia; Muridae.
AUGGAGUCUGGUCAAACUCGGCUUGGGU